Molecule: long non-coding RNA, 2791 nt
Organism: Ailuropoda melanoleuca (giant panda)
Lineage: Eukaryota; Metazoa; Chordata; Mammalia; Carnivora; Ursidae
Exons: 3
Source: RefSeq, a predicted model, not a curated record
UAAAGAGCCACAAAUUCAGGGGGAAAUAAAGCUUCACUCCCACGACAAGGCUCAUUACAGUACCAUCUACAACUGUGAGAAACUGCAAACGGCCUCACGUGUAUGAGAUGGUGCAAGGAAGCUUCGGCGCACACACGACGGACGGGAGAGGAGACAGCCGCAAAAACUGCAAAAGCGCGGAAAAUAAUUACAGUAAAGUCUGAAGCAAAUAUUAGGCUACAAAUUAGGUAUGCAGUCAUUUAUUUUGAAAAAGAAGCCUCACAGAAUACAAACUAUGGAAAUGAAAAUACGCUACGACGUCAACAGUGGUUGUGUUCAAAUCACAGGUAAAAGCUCCCGAACAUGUUUGUCAAGGAGGCAGGGCUGGGCAUGACUGUCUGCAUCUGACAGAAGAUGAAUCAGAGGUCCGAAGAGGCCAGCCGGAGAUAAGGGAAGAAAAUAUCUAGACCAAACCUCAUAGAAGUUCCAAGAACGAUGGUUACGUCUGGCUGCAGGCAGGAGUGAAGACUUCCUGGAAAAGGGGUAUCAAAGCACUGCUUGCUGAGCACCUGUGACAUGUUCAGCAAUCUGCGUGAAGAAGCUCCUGAAUGUUCACCAUAACCGAAGGGGUAAGGAGUAUGAUUAUCCCCAGUGAAUAGUGGAGGGAAGCUGGUGAGAUUCAAAAUCAGGUCUGACCCCAAAGCCAGGCACUCUGAAGAACUUCAGUCUUCACUUGCUGCAUUUAGGAAGGUUCUCGCAGGAGUGUCAGGGUGGUCUGGAUAAUGUGAGCAGUGCAGGACCCCCAUUAUCCCGCUGUGGGAGCCCAGCAGACACCCAGAGUGUCUCCUGCAGUUUGGGGGCCCUGAGGGCUUUCUUCUGGUGACCCAGCUAAAAUGGACCCUUCCCUUGUCAUAACCCCUUCCCCGCAAAACCAUGGAGCUCCUGCCCCUACCCUGCGCAAGAACUUUCACAAGGGGUGGCCCUUGAACUCCAGCCCAUCAAUGCCCAAAUCAGCUCGUAGAGCCCUGACUCACUCAGGGUUUAAUGAUCCCCCCCCAGGCCGCUCAUUGAGAGGAGACCACCUCUGUUCAUCUUCUAUUGAGGAGCCCCUUGGGGAAAACUCUGCAUUACAGUCCUUAGAGCUCAGAGGUAUUGGAAAGGUUGCUGGGGUCAACCUGGCCACUUUCUGAAACCUGGAAGCAUGGAGGCUGCCUUUCCCCACCUCCUCGUCUAACACUUCCCAUCCCACGAGUGUUCAGAGAGAGCAGAAUCUUCCUGUGGCCUUUAGAGACCCGCAAAAGGUGCCAAUGCCUGGCUAGGAAGGAUGCAGGAGGGCAGGGGAGACGGAACCAGCAGCCACGUUGUAUGUGAGCACUCAGGGGAUCGGCCUGGUGUAGGGCAGUAUUUCCCUGAUUGCUGUCCUUCCAGAACCACCUACUCGAUUUUAGGCAUAAUCACAUAUCACCUGGUCUAUUAUUAUACUUAAAUUUAUUUUAAAAGGAGGUCUUGUAUCACUACUGCAGAGGAGAAACUGAAUCAUUUGCCAUAAACAGGAGGUAACCAUGGAGAUAGAGGGUUAUUAAAUUUCUAGCUAAGUUGUUCUAUGGCAGGCUGAGGCUCCCUCCCCAUCCUUACCCUGACUCCUUACCCUCUCUGUGACCCCGUCCCCUUCUGCUGCUUUAGUUGCCCCCUUGGAUAAAAUUGCUCACUCAGCAUUCCCUCUACUAAUAAAGGCAGAUCUCUCCAAGAAAUGACUUUACUUGCAGAGAAGCACAUUUGCAAAUUCUUUCAGUACAUCGCUCCUAAACGCUCCGUUAAUUGUUCGGUCCCAGGAUAGUAAAUUAGGAGACCCUUUGAGGACAAUGCAACAGCCCUGUGUGGCACUAGAUCGAUUUCAACCCCGGGUGGGACUUGCUGGACUCCUUGCUCUUUUCUGAGAUCCUCUCAGAAAAGAUGAGCUACCCCAGGGGCCUCCAAAUGGCCUCAUCUGAGGCUCAAUCCCAAGGAAGUCUGAGAGGCCUGAGGGCGAAGGAGGGGGUCCCUGCUCUAGCUGAGUGUGUUGGCAUGCACAUUUCACCUGCUCGGAAAGUCUUAGACACGAAGCCUUGAGGGCUAUGGGCAUCGGGGGACCUGGGGCCAGAGUAGCCUUAGGCAACAUGAAGACAAACAGGACAUGAGCUGCAGUGCUAGGGCUGGUGAGCUCUGCCGUCUGAAACUGCAUGAAGCCAGCGUUGAGCACCCACUUGGGCUUCCCAUUAAACACCUCAACAGAAGACACCGUAGCCUCUCCUGAGACCCUUGGUUCUCCUCUUCUGCUUUUCUCUUCUUUCACCACUACUGACGCUUAGACUCACAGACCAACACAUGUGGGACCUGCACAGCCUGGAGGAACCAGCUGGCUCCACCCCUCAGGUGAGGCCAAUUGGAGGCCCCUGGGGUAGCUCAUCUUUGGGGGAAGGGAGGGUUUCCAACCAACAUUUGAAAGUGCUCAUCCAGCUCUGAUUGAGAACAGAGGCUCACGCUGCAUGGGGAUAUUUGGAGCAGUGCUCAGUUUCUGCUCCAGUCUCAGCAGAACCACACCCCGAAAACUCACCAGACCUGCCUUCCCUGGGGGGCAACCUAGGGAUCACCUCUACAGAGGGGGGAUGCAGGUCCUAAUGGGGCAUCUCCCUGAAAGAAGUGGAAGCUAGGGUGGAGAGGUGAGAAGAACCCUUUGAGAGGGGUUAUGGAGCAACGUGCAUUCUUGGGGAGCAGUGGCUGUCCCCCUCCCACCUUCACCUUGCCAACAUUUUACUGCAGGGAUCCUGGGAUU